CUCGCUUUCCUUGCCUGAGGUGAUAGACCUGUCCUGCAGGCAUGGGGCCCCUGAGCUAGGGGAAGCCUGAGAUCCCUGGUGCCACUGGACAAGACUUAAGCUUGGAGAGGGAAUUGGCCCUCCCACAGGCCAGAGUCCUCCUGUCAGUGCAACAGAACCUGAGGGGCUACAGAACAAUUCUGGAACAGUGUGCUACAAGUCUGAGUGCUGGGGAACCAACCCUGGGACUCACACAUGAUCUGGAUCAUUAGUGAACAUCUGGAGAAUGCUGGGAAAACAGGAGGAUUCUUUUGUUGUUGUUGCUGUUUUGGUACCAGGGAUCGAACUUGGGUCCUUGCUCUUGUGCAGCAGGCUGUGAAACCACUGAGAAAAGGCUGUGUUCAGCAAUUGCAACAUAGGUGUCUGUGGACCCAUCUGAAGUUUUUUGUAAUUUAUGCCAACAAGUAAAAUGAUGUCCCACCAGUGGUUCUCCCUCCCUGGAAGAUGGAUCUAUGCUUGUAUAUUUAUUAGAGACUUCCACUGAUUUACUACAGAAGACACCUGGAUUUUCCUCUUCGCCCUGAAUGAUCCAUUCACCUUAUCAUAAUUUACAGAUUUUUAAAAUAUGCCUUUCAUCCCCAUGGCCAUCAGGCAUAUAUGUAAAUUACCUGAAUUUUGUUAGAAGAAACAAGGAAGAAAUCUAGCCCAAUUCAAAAGAAAAGAAGAAGGAAGUCCAUACAUUGCCUAAAAUUGGAGGCUUAUCUCCUGCUUACAAGAGUGAGAUUUCCCCGGAUCAUAA
RNAcentral lists this long non-coding RNA (778 nucleotides) under Heterocephalus glaber (naked mole-rat). Its description in RNAcentral is "lncRNA (ENSHGLG00100035918.1)". The record is from RNAcentral. Lineage: Eukaryota; Metazoa; Chordata; Mammalia; Rodentia; Bathyergidae.